GACGAGCGCUGGCGGCGUGCUUAACACAUGCAAGUCGAGCGGAAAGGCCCUUUCGGGGGUACUCGAGCGGCGAACGGGUGAGUAACACGUGAGUAAUCUGCCCCUGGCUUUGGGAUAGCCACCGGAAACGGUGAUUAAUACCGGAUACGACCACUUCUCGCAUGGGAUGGUGGUGGAGAGUUUUUCGGCCAGGGAUGUGCUCGCGGCCUAUCAGCUUGAUGGUGAGGUAAUGGCUCACCAUGGCUUCGACGGGUAGCCGGCCUGAGAGGGUGACCGGUCACACUGGGACUGAGACACGGCCCAGACUCCUACGGGAGGCAGCAGUGGGGAAUAUUGGACAAUGGGCGGAAGCCUGAUCCAGCAACGCCGCGUGAGGGAUGACGGCCUUCGGGUUGUAAACCUCUUUCAGCAGGGACGAAGCGCAAGUGACGGUACCUGCAGAAGAAGCACCGGCCAACUACGUGCCAGCCGCCGCUGUAA
Molecule: ribosomal RNA, 480 nt
Filed under: uncultured bacterium
Lineage: Bacteria
Description: partial 16S ribosomal RNA
Rfam family: Bacterial small subunit ribosomal RNA
Source: RNAcentral